Capsicum annuum is the source of this 84-nucleotide non-coding RNA. The record is from Rfam. Lineage: Eukaryota; Viridiplantae; Streptophyta; Magnoliopsida; Solanales; Solanaceae.
GGUUCGAUGUUCGAGCAGUUAAUGGGGACGGACUGUAAAUUCAUUGGCAAUAUGUCUACGCUGGUUCAAAUUCAGCUUGGCCCA